UGCCUUCAUACCAACGGAAGAUCCGUGCAUACAAUAUGAGAGAAUCCAUCCGUUCUGGAAGAUCCAGGCUGCUUUGAGAAGUGCCAGUGAUGGGAACGGUUUUACAGGAGAGUACUGUGCCUAACAAGCUUCGUUCGUUUGAUAGAACAAAAACUAAAGUUUUGGGACAUGCACAAAAGCAAGAAAAGCACAAAAGCACCUUUGCAUCCACCACCGAAUAAUGGCAUCAGUCAGUCAUCUGAACCUGAUUCUCAGCAAAGGUUAAGAAGGACAAGUCUGGACGAAAUGUUGAUCAUGGCAAACCCUUCAGGCAGUAUCUUAAGAAAACAACUCAAGUAAGUAUUUCAGGCAACACAACACUAAAAUCAAAUCUUAUGCCACUUCCAAAAAUGGACAGAAGGAGAGACGACAAAGAGAAAAUAGCCAUGAUGCAAAAGAGACCGGAGGCAGGGGUAAAAGUUCAAGUGCAAGACCUGCAACCCCUCAUUCCCUACAAGAUCAGGGAGAAGACUCGUCAGAGUGCAGAAGUGAAGCCGAGGGCUGUGCACUACAAAAUAAAGAUGAAGACAAGGACAGUGCUAGUGACCUCUCAGACUCUGAAAGAUACUCUGUGCUUCCUGCUCAAAUUUAUCCUCCUGACCUCAAUCUACGUGCAGAGGUCAUAGAUCCGUCUGACUUUCAUGCCUCAAGACCUUCUUGUCGAGUGCACAGCAGCUAUCCAGAUUUCUUACCACCUCCUUUCAAUUCCUGGAGUCUCCAGCAGUUAGCUGUGUCCUUGAACAGUGAAGGCAAGGGCAUUCCUUGUCCCAAGCCCAGUGGGCAGCUUGAGAGAUACUUGGACUGGUUAUUGCAAUUGGAAUGGCAUCAGAUCCAAACCGUCCAAGAAGAUGGCAGAAAAUCCAACACCCCAUUUCUUAAAGGUUGCCACUUGCCUCAUUCGUCUUCUCAUCUCAGCCUCAGCUCUCCUAAAUGCAUCCUCCAGUGCCAGCGUGUGUUCUCUUUGACACCACUCUCCUGUUUGGCCAGAGCUCCCACCCUUCAGCUGUCAAGCUGUACCUGCCCACACUGCCAGAAUCAGUAUCCCAUCUUGAACGUCCCAUGCCGCUCUUAUGCCUACCACCACCACACACGGCCGAGUCCACUCCUGGAGAAGAAGGGCCAGGCCUCAGGUUUUCCUAAAAGGAGCAGCAGUGAGAGCAGGGUUCAUCAGCCGGAUCCCAGACACCAAUCUCGAGAGCACAGACUCAGCGACCCGAGGCGCAUGCAGGCUAUCGGUAACAUUCGCAAUCUGCUUCGUUACACAUACAGUGUUGACCAAGCUUCUUCUACAGCCACAACAGCCAGCAAUGCCAGUACUGGGGAUGUAAAAAAGAGAAAGCCUGGACAAAGGAGUCAUUCCUGUGUGGGUACGAGGGACAACAAAGGGAGACCUUUGAUAACACACGAAGGGACUCAAAAUUAUCUUGUAUCAAGCGUGUUGAAUUUGUAGGGCUGUCAACUUUAGUCGUUUAGUUGACUUAUCGGUCGAUGCCGUCUUGGUCGACUGACAUUCUCAUUGGUCGACCAGUUGCAUAAUUGUUUUUUUUUUCACCAAUAAAUAAAUUUUCAUUGAUUUACUCCUUGAUAUUUAUUCCUUUAUUGGCAGUUAUAUAUUACAGUAUUCUAAAUAUAAUUAGCCUAUGUUUUAUCCCAAACUAUAAAUGCUUUCAUUUAGGCUAUUUUAUAACAGCGCCACAGUUUAGCGCACCACGUGAACACUCUGGAACAGCAUCUGUGGCUGGCUGCACUGCUGCUUCGCGCUCAGUAAGGAAUAUAGGUAGAUUUGCUGUAUUCAUCAGUUAGAACGGUACUUUUUUGGCUUUAGUCGACAAAAUAUCCAAGAAAUCUUUAAGAACAUGUUUAAAAUCGUUGAGCCAAGAUAUACUGUGCCAGCACGGGAUGCGUGCGCUACGUUCGCGGUUUGAUAGACUUAAAGUAAAUGUAAACCAGUUAACGUUUCUCCAAUCCUCGGAGGCUGUAGGCCUCACAACUGAUUUGUGGUCUUCGCUUAGAAUGGAGGCAGACAUGAUAGUUACGGCCCGUUUUAUCGAUGUGGACUGGAAAAUGAAUAGCGUUAUGUUAGAAACAAAGCAGAUGGAUGAAGCGCACACGAGAGAAAAUAUCGCUGCGCGACUCAAUCAAGUCGCGAACGCUUACCACAUUCCACCAGAGAAGUGGGUGUCAGUGGUAACGGAAAAUGCUGCCAACGUGCUCUCGGUGGAAUUACUGAAGGGAAUCAAGGGAUCCGGUCAGUGGCCAGACGUGGAGUUGGUUAGAUGUGCAGGCAACACCCUGCACCUGUGCGUAAAUGCUGCCUUUUAAUUUUUUUAGCGUGUGGUGUGGUCAGGUGCACGGUCUCUAUAGACCUAGGACAGCGCUCCUCACUUUGCAGUAAAAAACAAAAUCACUUAAUUUUCAAAGAAUUGUAUUAUUAUUAUAGUUUUUUGUAUUAUUGAGUUUUUUCAUUGUUGUUUUACAAAUGCUCAUAAUUGUUUAAUAAAUGUUCAAUCAAAAUUCAAAACAUCGCGUUUUUUUUUUUUUAGUCGACUGAUAGUUGCGCAGGACAGGACUUUGGUCGACUAAGCAUUUCUUUGGUUGACUACAGCCCUAUGAAUUUGUCACAAAGUAACUUCAUCACAGUGGCCUGGAAAUCAGUUCAAAUGUAUCAAUUUCAUUGCAUUAGAUUAAUUUUAAUCCAAGAGGCAUAUUUUCUGAGAACAACUGAUCCAAGCAUUAUUUCAGUGAAUGUAUGAAGUCAGUUCACCACAUUAAUUAUAAACGUGAUGUUAACAUUUCGCAAACAGAAUGUUAUACUGUACUUUAUAAAACUUCAUUUUUCAGCAUAUCUGUUGGCCGAUCAUUUAAAACCAAACAAACUAUUGAUUUGAGUAUGUUUUAUAAUGUAAAUGUCACUUGGUGUAUUAAUUUAAGGAUUUUUCAUCUAAUGUGGUGACAUUCUGUUCAGUGUGGUGUAAAAGUAAGUGUCCAAACAGUUUUUGGAUCACUGUAUGUACAUAUUCUUCUUAAGUUCAUUUUUGCCUGUUUACACCUGCAUUAAUUUAAGACUUACGUUUAAGUUGUCUUUUGCUAUGACUCCAUGCACAAUAUACCUUCAUGUUUAUUUUUAUUUCAAUCUUAUUUUGAGCAAUCGUUUAAACAACUUGCUCUUUUAUAAGCCCAUUUUUUUUAAAAUAGCAAUAUAGCUGCAUUAAUUUCUUUGAAGCAUCUUCUAUCAACAGAUCUGACUGUGAUUUUAUUAAUUCAGUUCCCUUUAAGGAUCUUUAAUCUAAUGUUAAGUUUAGUUUAAAAUAGACAAUUGUUAUUUCUGCAAUACUUGUUCGUUUCUAGGCAGUGCUUACACAGAUGUUUCAGGUACAGUGAUAUGCUCGAGCUGGGACCUCAUGUGUCUGCACACCAUUACCCUCGAGCUGACUGUCCCACUGAGCACAAGCAGUCGCCUUACGUUGUAUAACUUAUUAUUUUUCUCAUUCUAUGCCUGAUUCAUAAGGUGAAUAUGAAGGCCAUAAAUAAAAUAUGUUUUUAGAGCUCUUUACAAUCCUCUUGACAAGGGAAGAGUUCCUAGGACAUGUUUAUAAUAGCCAUAUCCAAACUAAAUCCAGAUGUUUGAAGGACAGAUUCAUUUACAGACACUUGCUGCUGAGUCUGAG
Carassius auratus (goldfish) is the source of this 3707-nucleotide RNA transcript. RefSeq lists it as uncharacterized. The transcript is spliced from 5 exons. The record is from RefSeq and is a predicted model, not a curated record. NCBI's taxonomy places the organism in Eukaryota, Metazoa, Chordata, Actinopteri, Cypriniformes, Cyprinidae.